Peromyscus maniculatus bairdii (prairie deer mouse) is the source of this 1133-nucleotide non-coding RNA. Lineage: Eukaryota; Metazoa; Chordata; Mammalia; Rodentia; Cricetidae. The record is from RefSeq and is a predicted model, not a curated record.
ACCUACAGCACAGCACAGUGGUCAAGAUGGGGCCACUGAAGGGAGCCCCAAAUCAGCAGGCAGCAUGGGCACUGCCGCAUGGCUGCAGCAGUCCAGCUGCAGUGAGCCCAGGGUGAGGACAGCAAAGGGGAACUUCCACUGCCCAUCACAACUGAGACAGGGACACCAGGAGGCAGGGGACAGACACAGUGCUCUUCUCGAAACUGCCAAGGAGGUGACUCCAUUUCUGCUGACAGACUAACACUAUGAUGCACACACACCCUGCCAGGGCAGACAGUGCCAACUUAGAUGGGGACUUUGAACAUGCAGAGAAAUCAACCAGCAACCAAAAGCUCAUGCUGGCCCAAGAUGUGAAAACUCCAUCACUGAACGUUCAAUCAAACAGCUGACAAUGUCUUCCUUUACUUCAGGAACAAGAGCAACAUACUCAAGGGGCACAGGAGGGCUCAGGGCCUGAAGAACUACCUCCUGUCUUCUCCAGUCACCGCCUCUGAGCCCUGACAGAACAGCCUGGAGAACACAGCACAUGCGCUGAUCCCCAGGCUGCGUCCACCAGAUACCUGGAAUACACCCAGGCUCAUCAAGAGUAGAUAGAUGGACCAGACCCACAGAGAGCAGAGGUUCUAACCCAUCCAAGAAUGUCCACUCAGAAUGACCCGCUCUUUCAGAGUCACAAGGACACUGUGACUUUCACAGACUGGUCAACCACAUUGGUCUAAGUCUUGACACUUUGGCACAACAAGGUAACCAACCUUCAGAAAUUCCUACCGACCUUCCUAAAUCCCAGGAAGACAUGGCUCCAUGGGAAAAUGGACCCUCCUCAGGCAGAGCUGGGGCCAGUGCUGGCCACUCUCAUCUAACAGCUGGUGCUCCUGGACCCAAAGGGAAAGGAUUCCUUGGAACAGCAAAGGGGAGGAAGAGAGUAGCAGCUACAGCCACUGAGCUUUCAAGGGCCAGACCCUGUACCACCAUUUAACAGCCUCACCGUGACCUGUGCAGCCCCACUUUGCACAGAACCCAGGCAGAGGUUGUACCAUCUUCCAGAGCCACACAACACUGGGAAGUCCAAAAAGCUCAUCUGUACCCUGGUGCAGGCAUCGAAUGUCAACACACAGCACUUCCCAGACAAGAAU